GAUGAACGCUGGCGGCGUGCCUAAUACAUGCAAGUCGAGCGAACAGAUAAGGAGCUUGCUCCUUUGACGUUAGCGGCGGACGGGUGAGUAACACGUGGGUAACCUACCUAUAAGACUGGAAUAACUCCGGGAAACCGGGGCUAAUGCCGGAUAACAUUUAGAACCGCAUGGUUCUAAAGUGAAAGAUGGUUUUGCUAUCACUUAUAGAUGGACCCGCGCCGUAUUAGCUAGUUGGUAAGGUAACGGCUUACCAAGGCAACGAUACGUAUCCGACCUGAGAGGGUGAUCGGCCACACUGGAACUGAGACACGGUCCAGACUCCUACGGGAGGCAGCAGUAGGGAAUCUUCCGCAAUGGGCGAAAGCCUGACGGAGCAACGCCGCGUGAGUGAUGAAGGUCUUCGGAUCGUAAAACUCUGUUAUUAGGGAAGAACAAAUGUGUAAGUAACUGUGCACGUCUUGACGGUACCUAAUCAGAAAGCCACGGCUAACUACGUG
Molecule: ribosomal RNA, 497 nt
Filed under: uncultured bacterium
Lineage: Bacteria
Description: partial 16S ribosomal RNA
Rfam family: Bacterial small subunit ribosomal RNA
Source: RNAcentral